Oryza sativa Japonica Group (Japanese rice) is the source of this 1218-nucleotide non-coding RNA. The record is from RefSeq and is a predicted model, not a curated record. Lineage: Eukaryota; Viridiplantae; Streptophyta; Magnoliopsida; Poales; Poaceae.
CUCUCCAUUACAGAAGUAUAGACCAAAUCGAGAGAGACGGAUCGCCUUGCCUCCGCCGCCCUCAUCCUUGCCGUCGGCUAUAAAGACGACGGCCGUUGCCGUCGCUAUUGUGCCGCGGUCGUCGCCUUUCCACUUGCAUUCCAUUCUCAACUCUCUAAGCCGAUUUCAUUCCUCUAAGUUUCAUCCCAUUUGGUGCAGCGGAUCGUCGGGAACGUGGACCUCGCCAUCGUUGCUCCGGAGCGCGCACCGAGUGCCGCCGUCGGGUUCUCGUCGUCGUUCCGACUGCUGUAGACCAAGACAAGCCGAGCCCUCGCGCCAACAUCUUCUCCUUGAAGUCCUCCUCAAAACCCCUCAAGAAAUCCCAGGCAAUGGCGCAGCAAGUGCGGAGAUCGGCCACCGUCUUCUUCACCUCCGGUCGCCGUCGCCAUUGUCGAUUCCACCUCCUCCGUUCUUGGAGCCGAUUGAGCCGUCGCCCAUCACUCCGCCACUCGGCGGCGGCAAGAACCUCCGGGGUGUCAUCGCUAUCUGGACCUCGCCAAGUUUCUUUGGACGCUCGGAUUUAGACUUAGACUUUGAGUGAUGCGAGUUUCGACUGCUUCUUCUAGGACUUGAACUUAAUGAGCCACUUUGGAUGGAACAUUUGAAGAGACAUCGGCGGCGUCGACGGCGGCGUCGGCGUGCCGGCGACGGCGACGACCGGCGGUGGCGUGCCGGCGAGGCGAGGUGGCGGCGGCGGCGGCUAGGCUAGGGCACUGGAGAUUGCACGGGAGAGGAGUAGUAGAGAUGAAAAUGCUUUUGGGGCAAUUUAGUCAUUUUCAUACGUGGGUCCCACAUGUCAGAGCUCAUUCUCUAAUAGAAGGUGGAUGGAAUGGUAGACGGGUAAACGAAAGUUUGUGUCAUGGCAUACAGGUGACUCAGAACUUUUUUGUGGCACACGCAUAACCUCUAACUUUUUUAAUGGCAUAGGGGGUAAAAGACUCACCCAUAGUCGGUAUGCUUGUGGAUUGGGUAGACAAGUUUCCGUUGUUCUAUUAUUUAUUUGGCUGGUCGGCCAACGUAACUUAAGUAGAUGUAGUUUAUAAUCACUUUCGUCUUAAUUGUGUUUGCUAUGUAUAUCUAUGCUUGAGAUGAAAGUGUGAAUCUAGUGCACAUCCUGGGAGCUAGAUUCAUAUGACUAUGAGUUAAGAAUAUUUGAGAUGUUGUAGAUUUUUAGCCAUU